CAUGGCUUAAUGAUAAUAAAUAUUAAGUUGUACCUGCCCAAUGAUUUAAUAAAUUUAAUGGCCGCAGUAAUUUGACUGUGCAAAGGUAGCAUAAUCAUUUGUUUUUUAAUUGGAGACUGGAAUGAAUGGUUUGACGUAAAAAUAGCUUUAUUAAUAAUUUUGUUAAAAAUUAAUUUUUAUGUUAAAAAGCAUAAAUAAUAUUAAGGGACGAAAAGACCCCAUCAAGUUUAAUAUAUUAUUUCAAUAUAUAAUUUAGUUCUUAAUUUAUUUGAAUUAUAUAUUUUACUGGGGCGGUAGAAAUAGAUUAUCUUUUUUUAAUUAAAAUGAAUUAUAUUUUAUUAUUUAUCCUAUUUUAUAGAAUUAUAAUAAAUUACUGUGGGGGUAACAGCGUUAUUUUUUUGUAGAGUUCUUAUUAAUAAAAGAGAUUGCGACCUCGAUGUUGGAUUAAAUUUUUCUAUUAGGUGAAGAUGCUUAAUGGGAUAGUCUGUUCGACUAUUAAAUAUUUACGUGAUC
RNAcentral lists this ribosomal RNA (513 nucleotides) under Decolopoda australis. Its description in RNAcentral is "partial 16S ribosomal RNA". It matches the Rfam family "Bacterial large subunit ribosomal RNA", at positions 1816 to 2605 of the family's 2925-position model. The record is from RNAcentral. Lineage: Eukaryota; Metazoa; Arthropoda; Pycnogonida; Pantopoda; Colossendeidae.